This 1100-nucleotide long non-coding RNA is filed under the name Astyanax mexicanus (Mexican tetra). RNAcentral describes it as "lncRNA (ENSAMXG00005021569.1)". The record is from RNAcentral. Lineage: Eukaryota; Metazoa; Chordata; Actinopteri; Characiformes; Acestrorhamphidae.
CUACUGCAGGUGAAAUACUACACAUUUCAUGACAGGGACAUGGCCCCUGAGGGCCGCACUCUGGAAGAAUCCAAUAAAAACCUGGAUGAGAUUUCAGACUUGGCUUUGCAGCUCCAGAAGAAGACUGGGGUUAAAGUGCUUUGGAUCACCUGCAACCUGUUUGCUCAUCCCAGGUAUAUGAACGGAGCCUCCACUAACCCAGACUGCCAUGUUUUGGCCUAUGCUGGAGCUCAGGUGAAAAAGGGUCUCGACAUAGCCAAGAAGCUGGGGGCCGAAAACUUUGUGUUCUGGGGGGGCCGGGAGGGCUUUCUCUCCAUCCUCAACACAGACGUAGCGGCUGAACUGAAGCACAUGGCCAACUUCUUUAAAAUGGCAGUGGCUUAUAAAGAAAAGAUUGGCUUGAAAUGCCAGUUCCUCAUUGAGCCAAAGCCGAAGGAACCAUGCAAGCACCAGUACGACUACGAUGCGAUGAGUGUCAUCGGCUUUUUGAAGCACUUUGGAUUGGACAAAGACUUCAAGCUUAAUAUUGAGCCCAACCACACAACCCUGGCUGGACAUUCCUAUGAGCACGACAUCAUCAUGGCCUCUGUGUUUGGUAUGCUGGGCUCUGUGGACUCAAACACUGGGUCUCCUGAUCUGGGCUGGGACACAGAUCAGUUCCCCAUGGACAUCCGCAACACAACCCUAGUGAUGAAGGCUGUAAUCGAGCAGGGAGGCUUACAGCCCGGAGGUUUAAAUUUCGAUGCCAAGGUUCGAAGAGAGUCGACUGACCUGGAGGAUUUGUUCAUCGCUCACAUUGCUGCCAUGGAUGCUUUCGCUCGGGGUCUCAAAAAUGCAGUCAAGAUUAUUGAGGACGGAGUCAUGCAAAAAAUGCUACAGGUAAUUGUGAUAAUCUGAUUCUUUCAUUUCAGUUCUGUAUUUCUCAGCUUGUCCAGAAAUGCAUUUGUACAGCUGUACAUGAUUUGUAUUUAUUUCAGUAGAGUAAACCUGUAUUUACACUUCAAACCUUUAGGGUUUCACCCAUUCUCUAAUGUGGAGUGUUUUAGGUUAGUUAAGCUUGGGGUUACAUUUGCUUCUUUGUUUAUAUUUAAAGUUUUUUG